AUUGAACGCUGGCGGCAGGCCUAACACAUGCAAGUCGAACGUGUGGCGGACGGGUGAAUAAUGUCGGGGACACUGCGCGAUGGAGGGGGAUAACUACUAGAAACGGGAGCUAACACCGCAAACCCUCGGAUGUGCCCAGAUGAGCUUCGCUAGUAGGUGGGGGAACGGCUCACCGAGGCGACGAUCCCUAGCUGGUCUGAGAGGAUGACCAGCCACACUGGAACUGAGACACGGUCCAGACUCCGACGGGAGGCAGCAGUGGGGAAUAUUGCACAAUGGGCGAAAGCCUGAUGCAGCCAUGCCGCGUGUAUGAAGAAGGCCUUCGGGUUGUAAAGUACUUUCAGCGAGGAGGCGUUACUCGCAGAAGAAGCACCGGCUAACUCCGUGCCAGCAGCCGCGGUAAUAC
RNAcentral lists this ribosomal RNA (406 nucleotides) under uncultured bacterium. Its description in RNAcentral is "partial 16S ribosomal RNA". It matches the Rfam family "Bacterial small subunit ribosomal RNA", at positions 29 to 526 of the family's 1533-position model. The record is from RNAcentral.